UAAUCAAGUGUUUUUAUGGCACUUUUUUAAAUCCAUAUCCACCUUGUGUGCAAUGUCAGUCGAUCUUCUUCAUGGAGAUCGACCAAACAUCAACCUUUAUCUUUUAACUCUUUGUCUGAAAAAAUAUUAUGAAUAAACAAUUCAAAAUA
RNAcentral lists this unclassified non-coding RNA (149 nucleotides) under soil metagenome. RNAcentral's name for it is "partial internal transcribed spacer 1". The record is from RNAcentral.